This 69-nucleotide transfer RNA is filed under the name Sphaerodactylus townsendi. RNAcentral's name for it is "tRNA-Ala". The record is from RNAcentral. Lineage: Eukaryota; Metazoa; Chordata; Lepidosauria; Squamata; Sphaerodactylidae.
GCUGUGGCUCAGGGGCAGAGCAUCCACAUUGCAUGCCGACAGUCCCAGGUUCAAUCACUGGCAUCACCA